GGGGGCGUUCUGGAUUCGACAGGGGUAGUUUGAGCUCAAGUGGCAUGUCGAGGUUACGGCUCGUAAAACGUUACACGCCAAUAAUAACUGGCAAAACAAAUAAUUACUCUUUAGCAGCUGCUUAAGCACUGUUAAAGGAUCCUUUCCAGCAUCACCCGUGUGCCGGGUUUAGGGUCUCAACUUAAGCGGGAUACGCUAGAUAUCUUACGUCUGGAGACGUCUAGAAGAGCAUAAUCAGACUAGCUACUAGGAAGCCUGUUGGUUGGCAGAAUAGUUAGAGAAUCUAAAAUAAACCGACUACACAUGUAGAAGCUUGAGUGGCGAUAUCUUUGGACGUGGGUUCGACUCCCACCGCCUCCACCA
Molecule: non-coding RNA, 363 nt
Organism: Amphibacillus xylanus NBRC 15112
Lineage: Bacteria; Bacillati; Bacillota; Bacilli; Caryophanales; Bacillaceae
Rfam family: transfer-messenger RNA
About the family: Bacterial tmRNA, also known as 10Sa RNA or SsrA, is named for its dual tRNA and mRNA-like properties. Its role is to liberate the mRNA from a stalled ribosome.
Source: Rfam